ACCAUAUAAUGACAAAUUCCAGGUGUUCCAAGCUAGAUUCAGGAAUGGAAGAAGCACUAAAGAACACUACAAAUAUACGUUGGCUACUGGAGUGAACUAAAAACUUUCAGAAGAAAGUCAGUUUAUUUUUCAUAGAUUAUAGUAAAGCCUUUUCCUGUGUAGAUGAUGAAAAGGUAUUGUUCUAAGGAAAUGGGUGGACCAGAGCAUUUCAUUGACCAAAGGCACAGCUUGUACUAUGGGCUAUACAGGCUACUAUUAGGACAGAACACGGAGACAUGGAACUGCGGCAAAGGCGUCAGUUAGGAAUGUAUUUUGUCUAGUUAUCUAUUCAAUCCAUUUGCAGAACAUAUCGUAUGUAAAGAUGUAUUAGAUGAGUAUGAGAAACCCGUCCAUGAAUGAACAUGCUCUUUCCCGUCGUACAAGUACGGGAUCUAUUAGCAGCGAUCCGGAGGCGCUUCUAUUGGCCGCACCCAGAAAGAGGCCUGGCGAAGGUUUUCCACUUCGCGGCUGGCCGGGCCUGCAGACGGGCCUCCUCCUUCAGCGCAACUUCCCUUCGGAGGAACCCGCCCAGGCCGCGCCAUUUGAGGGGACACCAUGGUUUGCGCCUCGCUGCUGGGGCUCCGGGCAGCAGCCGCUGCGCCUCGGCUCUUGCGGGCAGGAAGCAGCCGCUGUUGCCGCCGGUGGAGCAGCGAGACGUGCGCCCCGCAGCCGAGCCCUGUGCGGAUCGGCUGUGCCUCAGGCUUCUGGGGAGACACGGCGGCCUCAGACUCAGGAAGAAGAAACCUGCCGCUUGUAUGCGCUUAUUUUACGAACAGGCGGAGCAGGCUUUGGCAUCAGAAACGAAGCGCCUCUUCAGAAUGGAGCCGUGCAAAACAAAUCCGAAAAGAAACUUCCCUCCACGACAAACAAGCUUGACUCAUGCUAAGUUUCCGUUUGAAUAACAUGAGGGUGAAAGGAAGAGAGAAUAAGACGCCAGAUGGCUCUUAACUUGGUUAUUUACUUGGUGUUUACACCAACUCAGAUUACAUGCAGUGCAGUCAAAGCUUGGUCGUGAGCCAGACUGAGUGGGAUUUAAAAGAAAGAGUGCAAAGGAUUGGAUUGCACCCUUCAACCGCCCCGGCAUCAAAACCAUCUAGUAUUAGCAUAUUCAUAGUUAAAGGGAUUGAUUAGAAUGAGAUAAAAUGUUAUUCUGAACCUGAGACCUAAUGAGGAUUUUGAAGCUAUUGAUGAAUAGGUUCAGAAGGAAAAGGAGGAGUCUUUAAUAGUACACACCUCAGCAAAUAGAAAUAUGAUGACUACAGUUCGGAGAGCUGCAUCUUUUUUGAGAAUACCAUCACAUUAAAAUGAUAUGUCUAUAGUCAAUG
RNAcentral lists this long non-coding RNA (1364 nucleotides) under Pogona vitticeps (central bearded dragon). Its description in RNAcentral is "lncRNA (ENSPVIG00000004834.1)". Lineage: Eukaryota; Metazoa; Chordata; Lepidosauria; Squamata; Agamidae. The record is from RNAcentral.